AAUUUGGUUCCCAUUUCAGGGAUUAAAAGGGAAUUAGGUGAAACACCUAAACAGUACCCGCUGCUGUAAGCUCGUUUACGUUACCAGCACAAAAGCCACUGUCCGACUGACGGGAAGGCGUUGUUAACAGAGCAAGUCAGAAGACCUGCCGGUUCUAA
RNAcentral lists this non-coding RNA (158 nucleotides) under uncultured Prevotella sp. The record is from RNAcentral. Lineage: Bacteria; Pseudomonadati; Bacteroidota; Bacteroidia; Bacteroidales; Prevotellaceae.